GAUGAACGCUGGCGGCGUGCUUAACACAUGCAAGUUGUGCGGGUGCARCAAUGCACCAGCAGCGGACGGGUGAGUAAAGCACAAGGACUUGUCCUUCGGAGGGGGACAACUGCGGGAAACCGCAGCUGAUACCCCGUAAGCCGRGAGGUGAAAGCAGCAAUGCGCCGGAGGAGAGACUUGUGUCCUAUCAGGCAGUUGGCGGGRUAAARGCCCACCAGACCGAAGACGGGUAGCCGGACUGAGAGGUCGUACGGCCACAUUGGAACUGAGACACGGUCCAGACUCCUACGGGAGGCAGCAGUGGGGAAUAUUGGGCAAUGGGCGCAAGCCUGACCCAGCGACGCCGCGUGAGGGAAGAAGGCCUUCGGGUUGUAAACCUCUGUUGCAGGGGAAGAAAMGAAUGACGGUACCCUGCGAGGAAGCUCSGGCUAASUACGUGCCAGCAGCCGCGGUAAUACGUAGGGAGCGAGCGUUGUCCGGAAUUACUGGGCGUAAAGGGCGCGUAGGCGGUCAUUCAAGUCAUCKGUAAAAUGGAAGGGCUUAACCCUUCAGGGCAGAUGAAACUGGAAGACUGGAGGUGCACAGAAGCAGGCAGAAUUCCUGGUGUAGCGGUGAAAUGCGUAGAUAUCAGGAAGAAUACCAGUGGCGAAGGCGGCCUGCCGGGUGCAAAYUGACGCUGAAGCGCGAAAGCCAGGGGAGCAAACGGGAUUAGAUACCCCGGUAGUCCUGGCAGUAAACGAUGUAUGCUCGGUGUGGGUAUAGCGAUAUAUCCGUGCCUAAGUUAACGCGAUAAGCAUACCGCCUGGGGAGURCGGUCGCAAGAUUGAAACUCAAAGGAAUUGACGGGGGCCCGCACAAGCGGUGGAGCACGUGGUUUAAUUCGAUGCAA
RNAcentral lists this ribosomal RNA (889 nucleotides) under uncultured bacterium. RNAcentral describes it as "bacterial SSU rRNA". It matches the Rfam family "Bacterial small subunit ribosomal RNA", at positions 28 to 959 of the family's 1533-position model. The record is from RNAcentral.